ACUCCUACUAAAGUGGAGGUGCCUACUACUAUGUGCAGCCCGUUGACGACGACCAGGAGUAGUUUAGGAGGAUCCCAGGCAGGAGGCCUGCGCCUCUUUCGAUCUGUAUCUUAGUUUAUGCUAGCCUUCUUAAGGCAAACUUGUUUAACUUAUGUCUGUACUCAGAUAUUGUUGCUUCCGCUGACUCGUCUAUGAUCGAGCUCUUGUAUUCGAGCCCUCGAGGCCCCUGGCUUGUAAUAUGAUGCUUGUAUGACUUAUUUUAUUUGUAGAGUUGUGUUGUGAUAUCUUCCCGUGAGUCCCUGAUCUUGAUCGUACACGUUUGCGUGUAUGGUUAGUGUAUGGUCGAAUCGGGGGCGUUACAAGUUGGUAUCAGAGCCGACUGCCUGUAGGAAUCCGCCUUCCACACUCCUUGGCCGAAGUCGAGUCUAGACAUUACAAAACUUUUUACUAACAUGGUUGUGUGCCUUACGGACCCACGUCGCCAUCUGGGUGGUAUUAGGAUCUUUUACUCCUCGUCUAUACUCUGGGAAUCUGAUCUCUCUUCUAUUUGGGUUAAAUGAUUUUACUAAAUCUGACUCUAGGUUCUCGUAACUGCUUCUCCCAGAGAGCCCCUUAUCAUAGAUGAUCGCCUACUGCACCCGAAGAUUUUGAAGAUACUCUUUGAUCAUUCCCGAGACCCUUGUGCCAUCUGCCUUUUCAAUUCCCUACUACUGAUAUAUCCAUAUGGAUAACGACAUACACUUGUUGUUCAUACAAUUACUCUGAGUUUCUCUUGUUAUUACAAGAUGCAUCGGAUUGCCUCUGACUUUUAAGAAUCCCUUGUACCACUGCCUUGUAGUUCCUUACCGUAGAGAUGCCCCUACGGAUAAUUCCUCGGACUUAUCGAGUAUCCACUCAUUCCCAGUUGUUCUUGUGCUCCACAAAGACUUUGAAAUACUAUUUGAUCUUUCGAAAAUCCUCAACAGCUUAUUGCUCUUGAAAUUCUUGCUUACUUGCAUUAUGAUUUACCUCAUAAGUCCGGUAAUCUUAUUGGCAUCCUUAGUCAUUAUCAGUUUGAGUCUAUUGAAUCAAUAUGUUGUGAAUACUCGCAAUCCUUAAUUAGAUCCUUCAUUUCGUCCUUCCGACUCAGAUGUCAUUUUAAAUAUGAGCUGGAUCUCGACCAAUCAAAUUUUGCCAUCGAUUGUGCCCCUAAGGCUAUUCAACUUAUCCAUCCCUAAUCAAAGCAUUGCUUCUGAUCCCUUGUCUUGGAAUUGAUAAUUCCUUUGCAUUUGAACUUUGAGUUAGUCAGUUGUUUCCAUAAACUGAUCUCCUUGCAUUCCUUCUUCCUCUGGUUGAGUACCGAUGCUCACAUCAGACCCCUUCUGGAACACCAGAUCCUUUGUUGGAUUUAUCCGACAUCGUCCUUCAUAUUCUAUAAGCUUGUGAGCCUUUCCUCGGAUACAUAAUGCCUUUGGUAAAUUGUAUCCUCUGCUUUUCUCCAGCAUGCUCUACUAUAGAGCUUGUGUUAUUUAUUCCUGAAAUUGUGGUAUAUGCUCCUAAGAUGCCUCGAUGGGUUGAACCUAUGCCUUCCAUAGUAUGUGUGAACGCGAAAGUUUUCACGAGUCAUACUCGUCUGGUAUUUUGCCAGAUAAUUCAACAGUACAACUUCUUCGAAAAAGAGAAGUGAAUAAAAGGUUAUACACUGAAGAAGUGGGAGUCAGCCUUGAACUUGUGUUCAUGCCCAUGGACACGAUGUAUAUCCUAUCAUGGAAGCUUCUUGUAAUAAUAACUAUCCCCUUGAUAUAAUAUCAUUUGGAAUCUGUGAAUUGAUCCUUGCAAUCGUGGUUCCGGCCAUAUGUUCUUAUUUGAUCCCAUUUCUCGGGCAAGUUUAAGCACUUGUCUUGUGUGGACCAAUACACCAGUCCAACCUUUACUUUGAUCUACCUUCGAGUAUUACACCCUGGUAUCUCGGGAAUAUCAUGGGACAUCAUAACUUCUUAUGGGUUCUUCAUCAACUAUUAUCACUCACCAGAUCCAAUUGUUCCUAGGUUCUGGGUUGUCGUCAACCGAGAACACCGAAUAGUGAAUCGAGUCCACACUCUGAUUCAAUAACCCUAAAUAAUUUUCGUUGCUUAUGAGUUUAAUAAUCCUUCAAGUCAUUCCUUGCUUGAUCGGCUAUAUCCUUAUCGUGCUGCUCUUAACUGUGCUACCUGGUCCUUCUUCCCAGAGCACAAUUUUCGAUGAUGAGCUAAGCUUACGUCGAUUUUGCUCAUCAUAUCAUUUCUCCUUAAACCACAAGCUUGGUUUCGAGUUUGUGCCGUACCCGUGGUUCCAAUAACCUUUCGCUUCAUCAUUCUUUUGACUUGAUGUCAUUGCCAAUGGAUUACAUCUUCAUGAAAUCUCUCAAAAACUGUGUCGUGAUCAUCAUCAAUCUUAUGAGCUCUUCUAGGAUAUCAAUCAAAGUCAUGAUGAGAAAUACCAUCCUUGCCCCUCGAUGAAUUGUGUUAUCAUCGACAACUUUAUUGCCUUCCCUCCAACACAAACUUGUUCGUGUUCUGUGUUAUACCUUGAGUUCCUUGCUAUCCAACAUUUGUUCUUCUUUACCUUGGAGUAUUACCAUCUUUUAUAUCCAGGAUGUCGUGCUUAGCACACCCGGCCGGAGGCCCUAUGGUUAUAGAUUCCUUUUCAGCAAGGUUAUCCAUUCUUCCAUGAGGAAAUUGUAAGACUUAUUCUACAAGCUAUUCCUGAUGGAUCCUUUGUGUUUCCAAAGUCUGACCUUUGCCUGAAGACCAUGUCAAUGCUAUCUCGAAGCAUAUAUAUGUUACUCCAAUUUUCAACAAGAACAUUUAAAGCCUAAUGUUAAAUGUUUCCUUCUCAAUUAUCCAAACACUGCUGUAUGGGUAAUGUCCUGAAAUUUCUCUCCCCUUACCUAAAGAGUUUUCUACAUUAUAUCCUGUCAUGGAUAUCGUAAUCUGCUUUUCCUUGGGAAGGAUAUACCCUUGAAAUGUGUUUAAACACAUUUUCCUUUCCAUUGUUCUAAUUAAUCUGAUAAUCAUAUUUUUCUCUCCAUUGUUUGGUUUAACCUUUCUUGUGAUCUAUAUUAUGUAAGCAGUAAUAUUCCCUUGCUUAUGUUAACACCUCGUUGUACCACUCUGCCAGUAAGACCCUGUUACUUUGGUUGAUGACAUUCCGGUAACCACCGGUGGACGAGAACUUUGCCUAUUGGUCCGCCUCGUUUCAACGAGCAGGAAAAUGGUUCUCUUCGUCCCUCGCCCUUGGUACCGACAUUGUUGCUGACACAUACUGACAGGCUACCCUCUGACAUGCUUUACUAUCAUGACCAUGCAAGAUGUCACCGCCCUUCCUACUUUAACCCACAUGGUGGGCCCAUAACCCACAAGUUCCACAGGAUCGAAACCUGACUCUCCUGUACACCCUGAUUCAAAGUUAUCCCUUGCACUUGGUUUCGUGUGUAAUUCGUGAGCCACCUUCCGAGUGAUCUAUUCUGGCAUCACACACAAUACUUGGUCCCAUUGCUAUGAAACCUUUCACACUCUGUUUCACGCAAUGAACGAUUGCCUAUCCGCCCAAAACUUUUCAUGAUACAUUCUUACUUUGCUCUCGAUAUUUUCUAAGGUUUCAAUUCGAGAGUUACUUUCCCCCACCUUCCCCGAUGUUAUCUUCGAGAUAGCCAACCUUGCAGAGGUCUGUUCUCUUGGAAUGCCCACCCUUUAUUCUUCGUAAGUACAAUGGAGUUCCCGAAUAAAGGAUGUCGACUUCAUCAUGAUGACCUGAAGCAGAGAAAUGAAGACAUCAAUGUAAUGGAUCGGCCUCUUCGAGAAGAGCAAGCCAGAAUGAGAAGACCCGCUAGAUUCGUUACCAAACCUUCCCCACUUUCACUACCUCUAAAAUCUCGGGACGAGAUUUCUUGUAGUAGAGGAGAUUUGUGACGCCCGGAUAAUUAAGCUACAGUAACCUCACCCUAGUGUGCCUUGGCAGUUAUGUUUUGAAGCCAUUUUGCCACUUAAUGAAAACCGAGUAAAAUUCAAAGUUCAAAUAAUAAGUCAAAUUCUUAUUUCUUCAAACUGUCAAUUAAAAAUGUUCAAUGAGUUAAAAAAUCACUAAGUAAUUAUCAUAUGGAAACCAACAUCAUUUGACUCUCCAAUUAAUCCCUAGGACUUAUAAAGUGAACCGGCAACAUUAAAAUCAAGCCAAUUCAAUUUAAAACGAAAAGUUAUAUGUUUCUAAAUAAGCGAGACUUGGUGGACUAGCUCAAAACACUGUCUACUAUUUAUGUGAAAGGUUUCAUUUGUUACAAAAAUCGUUUGGUCUUUAAAUAAAUUGCAAAGCAGAGAGAAAAUAAGAGAGACAGGAAGGACACUAUUGAAAACAAAACAUAGGGGAGGGCCCAUGUGGACGGGAAGAGGCCCAUCCCACACUCCCAAUCGUCUCCUUCCUUGCUACAGGAGAGGCAGGGGGUCGUGGCAGGCAUCUAGCCGCCAUGGCCUCGCCCUGGCCACGUGCCGAUCAUCCCCGAGCCCCCUGCUGGUUAAAACAACGCUCACGGCCCCUUUGAAACCCUGGAUCCAUUCCCCUCCUUUUCCUCGCACCGCCGUCUUCUUCCCACGCUCGGCCGAACCAUCGUCAUCAUGGCCGCCUCCGUUCCCGCGCUCUCCAUCAUCCCCGCACCCUGAAAACUUGUCCGUGAGCUCUGUCGUCGUCCGCCUUGUCGUCUUCACCCACUGGUUCCAGCCGGGAGCCCCUACAUCGAGUCCUGCUACGUCGUCUUCUUCCUUGGAUGCCGCUGGUCAUCGCCGUUCGAUUCGCCUCCACCGAGCCUCCCUCAAGCCCACUGACCCGCUCGUCGACCCCGCUGUGAGCCUCUGCUCCUUUCCCCGCUCUCUAAUUCCUCGCACACGCCCUGAGCACUGGCUUCCUUCAUAGCCGAAGUUUUGUUUCACGUCGUUGUUGCUUUUGUCGUUCGGUAGUUAGGCCCAGAACAAACCGGUCGUCGUCGCAUUCCGGCCGUGCCCUUCACGUCGCCCUCGCGCCCACGUCCGCUCCCGGCCGCGCGCCCCGCUUGCGCUGGCUGCGCCCGGCUCACCGACUGCUGCCUCUGCCUUCGGUCGUGGCCGUUGCCAACGACCCAGUGCACCCCCCACGAUGCCCGUCACCGUCGACCGACGCGCGCGACCGCGUCCAGCAGUAGCUCCUCGCGGACCAGAUGUCCGUUGGGAGACCAAACUGGAGGCCCCGUUGUGCUUCUGCCAGCGCCGACGAGCCCCUGCUUGGGUCGUCGUGGUCCUCGCCACACGGCCGCUCGCUCCCGACCACCGGCCACGCGUGCUUCCACAGCCGCCCGCCCGCGCGAGACCGUCCCUCCCGCGCUGCCUGCUGACCGCUGUGCACCCGCCUCCGGCUUGUCAUGCGCUUGGACCGCUGCCCCGUGUUGUGGCCUCGCGCUCGCCUUCGUGCCCUCCCCCGCUUGCCCCCGUCGCCGCUGCCACUACCGCUGCCCGCCGGCCCGCGCCCGCCGCUGCCCUCCCGCCGGCGUUCCCCUCCGGAGAGCGACCGCGCCUUGCCGCCGGCCAGUGCCCAGCGGCCCCCUCCGCUGCAGCCUGGGGCCGCACCGUGCUCCCCUCUGCGUGUUGUGCGCCGGCUACCGACGCCUGCGUGCGUUCGUGCGUGCCCAAGCACAACCUUGGCCUCUAUCGGCCUGGGUCACUGCCCAGUGGGGCCGGCCCCUUAAAAAGAGUAAAUAAAAUAAAUAUUAGUGAAAUAACAAAUUAGUUUAGUUAAUUAAUUAUUUAUUUAGGCUAAUUAGUCUAACUACCCUAUGACAGUGGUCCCCUCACUUAAAUACCCUGUUAAAAUAAAUGAUAAGUCAUUGUGUCAAUGACAUGUAGGCCCCGCUGACCCUUUUGACCAGUCAAUGUUGACUGGUCAACUGCUGAGUGUGCAUGCUGACUGCCCCCUGACCCAAUGUCAUACACUCUGGCUAUUUUAGCACUAGGUGACAAAACUUUAUUCUGCUUAUUAUUCGAAUUAAACAAUUUUAGAAAUUCUAGAAAAUCAUUAGAACUUUGAAAAAUCAUAUAAAUUAAUCCGUAACUCGGAUGAAAAUACUUUGUACAUGAAAGUUGCUCAGAACGACGAGACAAAUCCAGAUACGCAGCCCGUUCGUCCGCCACGCAUCCCUAGCAUGGCGAACACACUACUUUCCUCCUCCGAUUCAUCUGUCCAAAAAGGCGAAACACCCGGGAUAUUUUUCCGGAUGUUUCCCCCCUUCACCGGUACAACCUCAUACCGCGUUAGGGCACCCCUAACACCGAUACUUGUCAUGUCAUGCAUCGCUAUGCAUAUGUUUGCUUAAUAUUUAUGGUUUCGUCCCCCUCUUCUCUCGCUAGACACCGAGACCGAUGCCGCUGCUACCCAAUACGACUACGGUGUUGACGACCCCUCUCUCUUGCCAGAGCAACCAGGCAAGCCCCCUCCCCCUUGAUCACCAGAUAUCGCCUAUUCUUCUCUACUGCUUGCAUUAGAGUAGUGUAGCUUGUUACUGCUUUCGAUUAAUCCUAUUCUGCUGCAUAGCCUGUUUUUGUUGCUACAGUUGUUACCCUUACCUGCUAUCCUACUGCUUAGUAUAGGAUGCUAGUGUUCCAUCAGUGGCCCUACACUCUUGUCCGUCUGCCAUGCUAUACUACUGGGCCGUGAUCACUUCGGGAGGUGAUCAUGGGCAUAUACUGUAUACUUUACACUGUUACAUUACCUGUGAUACUGUUCGGAGAUGGGGGCUGAAGGGGCAGGUGGCUCCAUCCCGGUAGAGGUGGGCCUGGGUUCCCGACGGCCCCCGACUGUUACUUUGUGGCGGAGAAACAGGGCAGGUUGAGACCACCUAGGAGAGAGGUGGUCAUGGCCCUGGUCAGCGUUCGCGGAUACUUAACACGCUUAAUGAGAUCUUGGUAUUUGAUCUGAGUCUGGCUACUGGCCUGUACGCACUAACCAUCUACGCGGGGACAGUUAUGGGCACUCGACGUCGUGGUAUCAGCCGAAGCCUUCGUGACGUCAGCGACUGAGCGGCGCGCGCUGGGUUGGACCGCGUAACGCAACUUCCUUUGUAAUGGAGGUUGCUAGGUCUGCUCUCCGGCCGCCCUCGCAACGUGCAGGUGUGCAAUGGGCAAUGGGCCCAGACCCCUGCGCCAUAGGAUUUAGACCGGUGUGCUGACCUCUCUGUUGUGCCUAGGUGGGGCUGCGACAUGUUGAUCUUCCGAGGCCGGGCAUGACCCAGAAAAGUGUGUCCGGACAAAGGGGAUCAAGCGUGUUGGGAAAUGUGGUGCACCCCUGCAGGGAAGUUAAACUAUUCGAAUAGUUGUGUUCUUCGGUAACAUGACGACUUGGAGUUGUACCUUGACCUUAUGACAACUAGAACCGGAUACUUAAUAAAACACAUCCUUCCAAGUGCCAGAUACAACCGGUGAUCGCUCUCUCACAGGGCGACGAGGGGAGGAUCAUCGGUUAGGAUUAUGCUAUGUGAUGAUACUUGGUGAACUUACCUUCUACUCUCUUCUUCUGCUGCAAGAUGGAGGUUACCAGAAGCGUAGUCUUCGAUAGGACUAGCUAUCCCACUCUUAUUCUGGCAUUCUGCAGUUCAGUCCACAUAUAUUACCCCCUUUUCCAUUUGAUACCAAUGCAUACUUAUGUAGUGUAGCUCCUUGCUUGCGAGUACUUUGGAUGAGUACUCACGGUUGCUUUGCUCCCCCUUUUCCCCCUUUUCUAUACCCGAUUGCUGCGACCAGACGAUGGAGCCCAGGAGCCAGACACCACCGUCGGCGAUGACUCCUACUAAAGUGGAGGUGCCUACUACUAUGUGCAGCCCGUUGACGACGACCAGGAGUAGUUUAGGAGGAUCCCAGGCAGGAGGCCUGCGCCUCUUUCGAUCUGUAUCUUAGUUUGUGCUAGCCUUCUUAAGGCAAACUUGUUUAACUUAUGUCUGUACUCAGAUAUUGUUGCUUUCACUGACUCGUCUAUGAUCGAGCUCUUGUAUUCGAGCCCUCGAGGCCCCUGGCUUGUAAUAUGAUGCUUGUAUGACUUAUUUUAUUUGUAGAGUUGUGUUGUGAUA
This 8098-nucleotide long non-coding RNA is filed under the name Triticum aestivum (bread wheat). RNAcentral describes it as "long non-coding RNA (TAES_LNC020825)". The record is from RNAcentral. Lineage: Eukaryota; Viridiplantae; Streptophyta; Magnoliopsida; Poales; Poaceae.